GUUAUAUUCUGCCAGGGAGGGUUAUAUUCUGCCAGGGGGAGUUAUAUUCUGCCGGGGAGGGUUAUAUUCUGCCAGGGGGAGUUAUAUUCUGCUAGGGGGGUUAUAUUCUGCCAGGGGGAGUUAUAUUCUGCAAGCGAGGCUUAUAUUCUGCCAGGGAGGAUUAUAUUCUGCCAGGGGGAGUUAUAUUCUGCAAGCGAGGGUUAUAUUCUGCCAGGGAGGAUUAUAUUCUGCCAGGGGGGGUUAUAUUCUACCAGGGGGAGUUAUAUUCUGCCAGGGAGAGUUAUAUUCUGCCAGGGAGGGUUAUA
Non-coding RNA from Pelobates cultripes (western spadefoot toad), 305 nucleotides. The record is from the annotation of a GenBank genome assembly. NCBI's taxonomy places the organism in Eukaryota, Metazoa, Chordata, Amphibia, Anura, Pelobatidae.